AGGACAGAGACUCCCUGACUCACCGUGGCAGACAGGCAGGAGGAGGCCCGGAAGGGAGGGAGCCAGCAUGCCUGCUGUGUCAGCAGUCAGAGCCUGACCCGGACAUCUUGUGCGGAAAAACUCCGGAUAAAUGGUUUCUGUGCCCACCAGUUCUGCCCUCCCAACAGCGAAACCAGUCCCGCCAGCCAACGGGACUGGUCAAUGCAACAGGAGCCACUGGGAGGGACUGGGAGGGACUGGGUGUCAUUAUCUAGUUAACUAAACCAAGUCCCUUCACUAUAAACCUUAGACAAGGUAAAAGGGAGGUAACUUGUUUUAUGUCUUUACAGGGGCCCAAUUAAGUUUUAUGAUUUCUUUUUCUUUUCUCUCUCCGGGUUGUGUUGACCUCAGGCUGUUUUCUUUUUAUGUACCUCAAAUCGUUCUCCCUUUUACCUUGUCUAAAAUUUAUAGUGAAGGCACUUGGUUUAGUUAACUAGAUAAUAACACCUUUCGUAAAAGUUGAUAACUGUGUAGAUAACAAGCACCCAUCUGCUCAGUGUCUGACCUGACAAUGUGUAAUGUUUUUGCUGUUGUGUAAUGAAUGUACAUAUUUUAUUUAUUUACACGUAUUAUACAUUUGUAUAUAUAUUAUUGAGAUAAAUUGUAUAUCAAUAUAUUAUAUAUAAUUAUAUAAAGACUUUUAUAUAU
Long non-coding RNA from Pseudopipra pipra, 687 nucleotides. RefSeq lists it as uncharacterized. The record is from RefSeq and is a predicted model, not a curated record. The transcript has 2 exons. NCBI's taxonomy places the organism in Eukaryota, Metazoa, Chordata, Aves, Passeriformes, Pipridae.